CUAUUUAAAAAAAUUCUAAGUAACAUUUCUUUAGACUUGCGUAAUUUACAAAUGAACCAGCUCUAUUAGGUAGUUCAUUUCGGGAAACCACUAAAUUUGAUUGUGGACUUGAUUUCUUUUGAACAUAUUUAGACUUUGGAACAUAUAUUGUUAUCCAUUUAUUUUCGGUGUCAUCCUCUAGCAAAAAGAGGAAUGCUUUCAAGGUAGAUUCUGUGCAAAUUACAUAUCAGAUGCAUUUUCUUUUUGCUUUUUUGGAUUUCUAGUAAACUAAAAUUCUUUUUGGCAACAUGGCGUUUAAGCCGUCAUACAAAAAUCGUGUCAAGACUGUCGUAUCCGCAAUAAAAACCACUUUCCAUUGGGGUUUUAUGCCGCUGAUAAUCUAUUUAGGCUUAAGAACUGGGGCUGAGCCAGGUAAGCCUGCAUUAAGUGUGUGGAGCUUGCUGCCAUUCCAUUUUUAACAAUUAAGGAUAUCAUAGUAUAAGUACAUGUAAGCGGUUGUGGAAUGAAAUUAUAUUAGGAUUGGACUAUGAUUGGAAUAUAAUAGCUUGAAGGGGAUGACAAGGUAGCUGAUUUAGUUAAUUUUCACCUUAAAAAUUUUUGAUUCUUUAUUGUACACAAUGACAUGCCUACUUUCAAGGAAUCAAAUAUAAAUUAAAAUAUUUUUCAAACUCAAUAAUAAAUAAAAAUAUAAAUACAAAUCU
Teleopsis dalmanni is the source of this 701-nucleotide long non-coding RNA. RefSeq lists it as uncharacterized. The transcript is spliced from 3 exons. Lineage: Eukaryota; Metazoa; Arthropoda; Insecta; Diptera; Diopsidae. The record is from RefSeq and is a predicted model, not a curated record.